RNAcentral lists this ribosomal RNA (497 nucleotides) under uncultured bacterium. Its description in RNAcentral is "partial 16S ribosomal RNA". It matches the Rfam family "Bacterial small subunit ribosomal RNA", at positions 28 to 507 of the family's 1533-position model. The record is from RNAcentral.
GAUGAACGCUGGCGGCGUGCCUAAUACAUGCAAGUCGAGCGAACAGACGAGGAGCUUGCUCCUCUGACGUUAGCGGCGGACGGGUGAGUAACACGUGGAUAACCUACCUAUAACACUGGGAUAACUUCGGGAAACCGGAGCUAAUACCGGAUAAUAUAUUGAACCGCAUGGUUCAAUAGUGAAAGACGGUUUUGCUGUCACUUAUAGAUGGAUCCGCGCCGCAUUAGCUAGUUGGUAAGGUAACGGCUUACCAAGGCAACGAUGCGUAGCCGACCUGAGAGGGUGAUCGGCCACACUGGAACUGAGACACGGUCCAGACUCCUACGGGAGGCAGCAGUAGGGAAUCUUCCGCAAUGGGCGAAAGCCUGACGGAGCAACGCCGCGUGAGUGAUGAAGGUCUUCGGACCGUAAAACUCUGUUAUUAGGGAAGAACAAAUGUGUAAGUAACUAUGCACGUCUUGACGGUACCUAAUCAGAAAGCCACGGCUAACUACGUG